This 76-nucleotide transfer RNA is filed under the name Candidatus Moraniibacteriota bacterium. Its description in RNAcentral is "tRNA-Ala". It matches the Rfam family "tRNA". From Rfam's summary of the family: Transfer RNA (tRNA) molecules are approximately 80 nucleotides in length. Lineage: Bacteria; Candidatus Moraniibacteriota. The record is from RNAcentral.
GGGCCCAUAGCUCAUUUGGUAGAGCGCCUGCUUUGCACGCAGGAGGCGAGCGGUCCGAAUCCGCUUGGGUCCACCA